This 73-nucleotide transfer RNA is filed under the name Cordylochernes scorpioides. RNAcentral's name for it is "tRNA-Thr". It matches the Rfam family "tRNA". From Rfam's summary of the family: Transfer RNA (tRNA) molecules are approximately 80 nucleotides in length. Their secondary structure includes four short double-helical elements and three loops (D, anti-codon, and T loops). The record is from RNAcentral. Lineage: Eukaryota; Metazoa; Arthropoda; Arachnida; Pseudoscorpiones; Chernetidae.
UCCAGGGUAGCCUAGUGGACAUGGCAUCUGCCCGGUAAGCGGAAGGUCGUGGGUUCGACUCCCGCCCCUGGAC